UACGAAGGGGGCUAGCGUUGCUCGGAAUCACUGGGCGUAAAGGGCGCGUAGGCGGCACAGCAAGUCGGGAGUGAAAGCCCGGGGCUCAACCCCGGAAUGGCUUUCGAAACUGCUGAGCUAGAGUACAGAAGGGGCAACCGGAAUUCCCAGUGUAGCGGUGAAAUGCGUAGAUAUUGGGAAGAACACCUGAGGCGAAGGCGGGUUGCUGGGCUGAUACUGACGCUGAGGCGCGAAAGCCAGGGGAGCAAACGGG
This 253-nucleotide ribosomal RNA is filed under the name uncultured bacterium. Its description in RNAcentral is "partial 16S ribosomal RNA". It matches the Rfam family "Bacterial small subunit ribosomal RNA", at positions 524 to 776 of the family's 1533-position model. The record is from RNAcentral.